GACGAACGCUGGCGGCGUGCUUAACACAUGCAAGUCGAACGGAAAGGCCCUGCUUUUGUGGGGUGCUCGAGUGGCGAACGGGUGAGUAACACGUGAGUAACCUGCCCUUGGCUUUGGGAUAACUUCAGGAAACUGGGGCUAAUACCGGAUAGGGGCUCCUGCUGCAUGGUGGGGGUUGGAAAGUUUCGGCGGUUGGGGAUGGACUCGCGGCUUAUCAGCUUGUUGGUGGGGUAGUGGCUUACCAAGGCUUUGACGGGUAGCCGGCCUGAGAGGGUGACCGGCCACAUUGGGACUGAGAUACGGCCCAGACUCCUACGGGAGGCAGCAGUGGGGAAUAUUGCACAAUGGGCGGAAGCCUGAUGCAGUAACGCCGCGUGCGGGAUGACGGCCUUCGGGUUGUAAACCGCUUUCGCCUGUGACGAAGCGUGAGUGACGGUAAUGGGUAAAGAAGCACCGGCUAACUACGUG
RNAcentral lists this ribosomal RNA (468 nucleotides) under uncultured bacterium. RNAcentral describes it as "partial 16S ribosomal RNA". It matches the Rfam family "Bacterial small subunit ribosomal RNA", at positions 28 to 507 of the family's 1533-position model. The record is from RNAcentral.